This 253-nucleotide ribosomal RNA is filed under the name uncultured bacterium. Its description in RNAcentral is "partial 16S ribosomal RNA". It matches the Rfam family "Bacterial small subunit ribosomal RNA", at positions 524 to 776 of the family's 1533-position model. The record is from RNAcentral.
CACGUAGGGCGCGAGCGUUGUCCGGAAUUAUUGGGCGUAAAGAGCUCGUAGGCGGCCUGUUGCGUCCGCUGUGAAAGCCCGGGGCUUAACCCCGGGUCUGCAGUGGGUACGGGCAGACUAGAGUGCGGUAGGGGAGACUGGAAUUCCUGGUGUAGCGGUGAAAUGCGCAGAUAUCAGGAGGAACACCAAUUGCGAAGGCAGCUCGCUGGAACGUAACUGACGCUGAGACGCGAAAGCGUGGGGAGCAAACAGG